RNAcentral lists this ribosomal RNA (165 nucleotides) under uncultured bacterium. RNAcentral describes it as "partial 16S ribosomal RNA". It matches the Rfam family "Bacterial small subunit ribosomal RNA", at positions 509 to 674 of the family's 1533-position model. The record is from RNAcentral.
CAGCAGCCGCGGUAAACCGUAGGACCGAGCGUUAUCCGAAUUCACUGGGCGUAAAGCGCGUGUAGGCGGUUCGGUAAGUUGGAUGUGAAAGCUCCCGGCUCAACUGGGAGAGGACGUUCAAAACUGUUGGACUAGAGGGCGGAAGAGGAAAGUGGAAUUCCCGGU